AAACGAGAUUCCGUAAGUAGUGGCGAGCGAACGCGGAAGAGGGCAAACCGAGAGUAGAAAUACUUUCGGGGUACGGACUGCUUUUAAGACUCAAUCUGUUAACCGAACGGCAUGGGAAGGCCGGUCAGAGAGUGUGAGAACCACGUAGGUGAAAACGGAGAGAGCUGCGCAGGAUCCAGAGUACGGCCAGACACGUGAAACCUGGUCGGAAUACGGGGGGACCACCCUCCAACCCUAAAUACUACCCAGUGACCGAUAGCGUAUAGUACUGUGAAGGAAAGGUGAAAAGCACCCCGGGAGGGGAGUGAAAAAGAACCUGAAACCCUGUGCCUACAAGCACCUAGAGCGCGUCAAAGCGUGAUAGGGUACUUUUUGUAGAACGGUCCGGCGAGCGAUUGUAUGCAGCAAGGUUAAGGACUUAAGGUCUGGAGCCGAAGCGAAAGCGAGUUUGAAAAGGGCGUUAAGUUGCAUAUAAUGGGCCCGAAACCGGGUGACCUACCCAUGGUCAGGUUGAAGUGGAAGUAAAAUUCCAUGGAGGACCGAACCGACCUCCGUUGAAAAGGCGGCGGAUGAACUGUGGGUAGCGGAGAAAUUCCAAUCGAACCCGGAGAUAGCUGGUUCUCCCCGAAAUAGUUUUAGGACUAGCCUCAAGUUAGAUACCUGGAGGUAAAGCACUGAAUAGCCUAGCGGCCGAGAGGUUAGCGAAGCUUAUCAAACUCAGAAUGCCAGAGUAUUGAUGCUUGGGAGUCAGACAGUGUCAGAUAAAUGUCAUUGUCAAAAGGGAAACAGCCCAGAUCUACAGCUAAGGUCCCAAAGUCAGGUUAAGUGGAAAACGAUGUGAAGAUACGCAGACAACCAGGAUGUUGGCUCAGAAGCAGCCACUCAUUCAAAGAGUGCGUAAUAGCUCACUGGUCGAGCGUCUUUGCGCGGAGAAUUUAACGGGGCUAAACCUGACACCGAAGCUUAGGCAAUACAGAAAUGUAUUGGGUAGGGGAGCGUUGUAUACGCGGAGAAACAGUAGCGCAAGCGGCUGUGGAGUGUAUAGAAGUGAGAAUGCCGGAAUGAGUAGCGCGAAUGCAGUGAGAAUCUGCAUGGCCGAAAGCCUCAGGUUUCUGGAGGAAGGUUCGUCCGCUCCAGGUUAGUCGGGAGCUAAGGUGAGGCCUAACGGCGUAGCCGAUGCACAGACGGUAGAGAUUCCGUCACCACCAAAAGAGUUAAACACAGGGACACAUAUGAAGUCUCGGAGCCGGGUGUUGGUUCCGGUAGCGAUCGAGGGAAGUUAGUACCGAAGUCCGGGAUGGAAGAUGGCGAGAAAAGCUGUGUGUAUUUCUGCGGUGCCCGUACCGCAAACCGACACAGGUAGGUAGGAAGAAGAUUCUAAGGCCAACGGGAGAAGGGUUGUUAAGGAACUCGGCAAAUUGACCCCGUAACUUCGGGAGAAGGGGUGCUCCAGAGAUGGAGCCGCAGAGAAUCGGCCCAAGCAACUGUUUACCAAAAACACAGGUUUGUGCUAAAUCGAAAGAUGACGUAUACGAGCUGACGCCUGCCCGGUGCUGGAAGGUUAAGAGGAGAUGUGCAAGCAUUGAAUCGAAGCCCCAGUGAACGGCGGCCGUAACUAUAACGGUCCUAAGGUAGCGAAAUUCCUUGUCAGGUAAGUUCUGACCCGCAUGAAAGGCGUAAUGAUUUGGGCACUGUCUCAACAGCCCGCCCGGCGAAAUUGUAGUACCGGUGAAGAUGCCGGUUACCCGCGACAAGACGGAAAGACCCCAUGGAGCUUUACUGUAGCCUAAUAUUGGGUUUCGAUGUUGCAUGCACAGGAUAGAUGGGACUCUGGGAAACCAAGGCUUUGGCUUUGGCGGAGAGGCCGUUGGGAUACCAUCCUUGCGAUAUUGGAAUUCUAACCUGCGGCUCUGAAUCGAGUCGGGGGACAUUGUUAGGUGGGCAGUUUGACUGGGGCGGUCGCCUCCUAAAGAGUAACGGAGGCGUUCAAAGGUUCGCUCAGCUUGAACGGAAAUCAAGCAAAAGAGUGCAAACGCAGAAGCGAGCCUAACUGCGAGACUGACGGGUCGAGCAGUAACGAAAGUUGGAGUUAGUGAUCCGGUGGUAUGUGAGUGGAAAUGCCAUCGCUCAACGGAUAAAAGUUACCCUGGGGAUAACAGGCUGAUCUCCCCCAAGAGUCCACAUCGACGGGGA
RNAcentral lists this ribosomal RNA (2193 nucleotides) under human gut metagenome. RNAcentral describes it as "bacterial LSU rRNA". It matches the Rfam family "Bacterial large subunit ribosomal RNA", at positions 227 to 2514 of the family's 2925-position model. The record is from RNAcentral.